UUAUGAGAGAACUCCAGGACAAGAUAAUGAUAUUGUUGUUUCAUAAAUACAAAAGUUAUGACUUUCCUGGCAUGCAUCACAAGGCCAGUGGUUAAUAAGACAUGCAGUCUUGUCUCAUGUGCAGCAUAGAAUCUGUAAUAAGGGACUGGCAACAGAGCUAGCUGGUAUGUCAUGUCAACACUAAUCCCGACUCCUUGGAGAGCACAUGAAGAGUGGAAGGCACACAAUCAGAGUUCUGUGCAAGCACUGUAAUGAAUGUGUAUUGCCAAAGGAAGCAAUGUAGGUUUUUUUUAUAAGAGUGGGGUUUUUUAUACUAUACAGCAACAGCAGAGAUGUAGCUAGGCUGAGCUUAACAGAGGUGAAUUCUUCAGUUGGGGAAAAAAGAGAUCUGCUCCACUAACAUUUGUUAUGGAUAGGUCCAAAUUACAGACAUACGAAUUCACCUGUAUUCAGCCUUUGAAUCUGGCAUUAUCAUUUAAUUCACUUUAUAAGCAAAACUUGGUUCCAGGUAACAAUUGGUAUCCUACAACCUCACAAGGCUUUUGAUAUCUAGACAGUAAGCAAAUCACUGAAGCAACUGGUCUUGUUGACAGUGAUAAAGAGUGAUUAACUUAUUUCUUUUGGGAAAUGUAAUUCCAAGGAAUAGGUCUAAGAAGAAAUGAAACCCAGCAAAAGUCUUUUGCUACUAGCAUUUCUUUUCCUCUUCUUUCGCCCGCCCUGGUUAACCACCAGCAGCGUUAGCUUGCCAUUAUCAUGUUGACGAAUCUUCCUUUUCAUUAAUAUCUGGUUUAUCUUCCUCUGAGUAUGCCAAAAUUUAACCCAGUGUGAAAGUUUAUGAUGAAGCUGCAAAGUAGAAACUUAGCAGAGGAAGCUGAUACCAACAUGCAAAAGAGUGUAUGCAGCAGUCCUGUUCAUCUUUUCGGGGCUCACUCAUUUUUGAGUGGUAACUGCCCUGAUACAACUCUACACACUGGAGAUUGAAUGAAAAAAAUUACAGCAGAAAACCCCACUUCCUCCAUAAUUCAGCCUCUGCUUUCCAAACUGUAACCGGCUUCAUGCUGAAGACUCACAGUGCUUCCUUCCAAAAUUAGCUUUUCCAGUCUUACAAACCACAGCUGCUUCUGGUUGGAGUAAGGCUACUGAUAGCUCAGGACAGUGUUUUACAUGGAGAAACUGAGGCACAGAAAUGCUGCAGAUGUUAGACAAAAUCAGCGAGGGAUCCAGCAAGUGAAGUAGAAGUCCUGGCCUCCCAGCAUAUGCCACGAAAGCAAAGGAACUGUGGGCCAACAAAAGGAAAAAAUGCUGUCUACCAGAAAUGGAACAUUUUUCAUACCGGCUUUUUAAUAUGCUGGAAACCAGAAAAGAAAAACCUCUGGUGAUUGAUCCCUUCCCUGACUUUUCUUAUGAUACAGUCUGAAGACUAGUCAAAGAAAGUUAAACCAACAUUUCUAACCUGCAUUGCAAAGCUCUCAUCAGUGUGCAGGAGGCUAUCCUUUCCUGGUAAUACUCUCAUUGCCAUCUUUUGAAGUUUGGUGGGUUUUUUACUACAUAUGAUAUGACUGAAGUUCUUUGUCUGCAGAAAAGAGAGUCCACGUGCCUCCAGCAGAUGCAGGGUGAAGGCUUCUGCAUCACUCUAGCUCCGACUCUCCAUCUUAUCCAGUGAAAUUUUAAAUAAGCUUUAGCAAAAGAGUUUGAGAGAACCUCACAUAAGCAUCUCUCACUGGCCAGGAUGCACUCCUGUGAUAUAAGUUUUAACCGCACACAAUCUGAACUUAAGCUUUCUGUAGACCAAGUAACUCCAGGAAGAAGGGGUGUUACCUUACUCGCUCUUCUCCUUUGAAAGGCACUAAAAGCCUUUCUAUUUAAAGAAAAAAAAAAUAAAUAAAAAAGAUCUGCAGAUUCCACACAGAGUUAGGAACUUGCCUAUAUAUCCCUAUAGACAAAGCUUAUUUUAUAUUUUGACAUUGAACCUUGGCCUCUGUGGCACCACAAAAUGCUUUAUUCUCUCUGAAGCUCACAGAGAGAGCCCAGGAAGGACUGAGCGUUAUGCCAAGUUCUCUGUGUGAAUGUUUCCCUCCCUACAGUUCAAUAGGCCAUUUGUAAGAAUAUCUAACUAAUAAGGAUAUUCCUUUGCAUGCCAUUAAUCAGUAAAAGCAAGAAAUGAAAUGGUGUGUUUUGUGAGCUUUUAUUACUGAGUCCUUUGUCAAUGAAUAUGACACUGAGGUGGUUGGGUCACAAAUUUGUGUCACAAAUAAUGGGACACAGCUAUAUGAAUCGAAGUCUCCUGUUGUAGUGCCACUCACAGUUGCUAUUCUCCUCUUUUUUGUAAAACGUAGUUUCCACUGGUCCCUGACGUGAGACAGAAAAGGAAUUCUUAGUGACUCACCAUGGGGAAGCAUAUAGAUAAGGGGUGGUAACCGGCUAAAUAAAUUUUCAAUAUGUUUUGUCACAUUUUCCUUUAGAGCUAUCCAAAGUCUUCAUGCACUUAUGUUAAUAAUCACAGAGCAGCAAAAGACAGUGCACAACUUUUUUGGUGCAAGGAUGUGAGCAUCUUUCUAACAGAUGAAAAUGCUCAUUUCUGGACUUACAGGAUAAACACAGCUGCGAAUUUAAAGUUUAUUUUAAUCAGGCUAAUAUUUGCAGUUUAAGAAGACUGCAGUUUUUGUCUGUGUGAAUAAGACAACAGUUUUCAGUAAUGUUAACCAAAUUGUUAAUGGUACUUUGGUAAGGCUACAAAAUUACUGUCUCAAAAGUAAAGAUAUACUAGGAGUGCAUGUUUCUGCAGCUAUUUAACACAGACUUGUGCCUUUUGUGAAUCUGUAGCAUGAUGUAAGUCUUACAGAGAUUGUUUUUUUUCCCCACUGGUCCU
This is a long non-coding RNA of Pezoporus occidentalis (night parrot), 2869 nucleotides long. RefSeq lists it as uncharacterized. The record is from RefSeq and is a predicted model, not a curated record. The transcript has 3 exons. NCBI's taxonomy places the organism in Eukaryota, Metazoa, Chordata, Aves, Psittaciformes, Psittacidae.